AUUAGAGCCUUAGUAGUA
RNAcentral lists this transfer RNA (18 nucleotides) under Crocidura grayi halconus. RNAcentral describes it as "partial tRNA-Thr". The record is from RNAcentral. Lineage: Eukaryota; Metazoa; Chordata; Mammalia; Eulipotyphla; Soricidae.